AGUUUUGCCCAAAGUUGGGCAGGAAGGCUUGGGUCACCAGGUGGUACUAUUAAUAACUCUGGGUAAGCCUGUCCCCAGGCUGGCUGGCAGCUCCCAUAAAGCCUGAACCGAGGACCCAGAGAGUCUUCUCCAGCCCCCGAGACCUUUAAAUCCCAUGUUGUGAGACAAAAAAGAAAAGAUCUUGUGACUGAAUUCAGAGAUGGUGGAUAUACACAGUCUGCCCGCACACAGCAGACACUUGGUUAGUGUCUAUCAAAUGGAACGGAAGCAGCUGGUACCAAAAGAUAGAAAACCAGAAAUUCAGGAUGCUCUGAGGCCCUUUGGAGAAGCUGGGUGAGCCUGAGCACAGUCUCCUUUCACAUCAUAGGAUGUGUUCUCUUUCAAAAUUAUGCCACAUGGUGUUCAUCAGGAGUUCAGCCUGGGACCUCAAGAAGGGGAAAGGACAUGUUGAUGCAAGAAUAUGAGGCGAUUAAAAAUGAAUGGAGUCGCAAUCGCAGAUGAACCACAACAGCAGGUGACCCAAUGGCCAUGGAAAAACUUUUCAGUCAUGUCCUUGGCAAAGAUACUGCAAUGGGUCAUUUCCUUCUCCAGUUUACUUUACAGAUGAAGAAAUGGAGCCAAACAGGGUGAAAUGACUUGCUCAGGAUCACAGUUAGUGAGUGUCUGAGGCCAGAUUUGAACUCAGGAAGGUGAGUCUUCCUGAUUGUAGGCCUGGUGCCACCUCUGUGGUAUGUGCAUACAAUGGGAUAUUAUUGGAUUGUGAGAAAUGGACAUUCAGAGAGCCUUGGCUCGAUUUGUACAAACUGAUGUGGAACAAAGUAAACAGAACAAAAAUGACUUCCAUGAUGCUCACAAUAACGUGAAGAGAAGCAGCACAGGAAAACUACAGAGCUCUACUCAAUGGAAGACCCUGGGUGACCCUGGAUGAUGGAUGCUUCUGGGGGCCAUGCCUCCUGCCUCUCAGCACAGAGGUGCUGGGCUCGAGGUGUGGAGCGACAUUGGUAUUUUCAGACACAGCCUAUAUAUUGAUUUGUUUUGAUAUCAGGGUCAGGGAUGAAGCGUCAUUGGUGACAAUUAUGUAACAAAAGAAGAUCAAUAAAACAUUAAAAAAAAAGAUGAAUGAUGGGUGCAAGCAGUUUGCUGUCUAUUACCAACUUGUGAGGGAGAAGUGGUAUCAGGGACUCCAUUGAGGGCAUGAAUGAGCAGAAAAGGAGCUGGGUUGAGUGUGUAGUGAGAGUGAAGGGAACAGAUGCACAGGCUGGGUGCUAUACUGAAAACCACACAAUAUUUAAAAAACAAAAUGAAAGAAAAAUCCAGAGGAAAUGCCUUGAGCAUGUGGGUUAGGUCCUCUAUGGAGGAUUUUGGAGGGGGGAAUGUAUAAAUGAAAAAACAUUUAUUGAGCACCUACUAUAUAGCAGAUCUGUACCGGGUAUAGGGAAUACAAAUAU
Dromiciops gliroides (monito del monte) is the source of this 1448-nucleotide long non-coding RNA. RefSeq lists it as uncharacterized. Lineage: Eukaryota; Metazoa; Chordata; Mammalia; Microbiotheria; Microbiotheriidae. The transcript has 5 exons. The record is from RefSeq and is a predicted model, not a curated record.